AUCUAUGGCCAUGCCACCCUGAACACGCCUGAUCCCACCUGAUCUUGGAAGCUAAGCACGGAAGAAAGCGAAGGUGAAACUGGAGAGAUUGUCAGAAGUUAGACCAUGUGGGGCCUUGUAGAUC
This 124-nucleotide ribosomal RNA is filed under the name Pteropus vampyrus (large flying fox). Lineage: Eukaryota; Metazoa; Chordata; Mammalia; Chiroptera; Pteropodidae. The record is from RNAcentral.